RNAcentral lists this ribosomal RNA (616 nucleotides) under Eurysternus hamaticollis. RNAcentral describes it as "eukaryotic LSU rRNA". It matches the Rfam family "Eukaryotic large subunit ribosomal RNA", at positions 694 to 1265 of the family's 3401-position model. The record is from RNAcentral. Lineage: Eukaryota; Metazoa; Arthropoda; Insecta; Coleoptera; Scarabaeidae.
UUGGGACUGUACGAAACCUAAAGGCGCAAUGAAAGUGAAAGUCCGCCUAGCUCGGACCGAGGGAGGAUGGGUCGGCUCCCGAGCCGACCCCGCACUCCCGGGGCGUCUCGUUCUCAUCGCGAGAAGAGGCGCACCCAGAGCGUACACGCUGGGACCCGAAAGAUGGUGAACUAUGCCUGGUCAGGACGAAGUCAGGGGAAACCCUGAUGGAGGUCCGUAGCGAUUCUGACGUGCAAAUCGAUCGUCGGAACUGGGUAUAGGGGCGAAAGACUAAUCGAACCUUCUAGUAGCUGGUUCCCUCCGAAGUUUCCCUCAGGAUAGCUGGCGCUCGCUUUCGCGAGUCUCAUUCGGUAAAGCGAAUGAUUAGAGGCAUUGGGGUCGAAACGGCCUCAACCUAUUCUCAAACUUUAAAUGGGUGAGAUCUCCGGCUUGCUUGAAGCUUGAAGCCGCGAGAUAAUCGGGAUCGAAGAGUGCCAAGUGGGCCACUUUUGGUAAGCAGAACUGGCGCUGUGGGAUGAACCAAACGCAGAGUUAAAGCGCCUAAAUCGACGCUUAUGGGAUACCAUGAAAGGCGUUGGCAACUUAAAACAGCAGGACGGUGGCCAUGGAAGUCGGA